This 71-nucleotide transfer RNA is filed under the name Glycine max (soybean). Its description in RNAcentral is "tRNA-Phe". It matches the Rfam family "tRNA". Rfam says of the family: Transfer RNA (tRNA) molecules are approximately 80 nucleotides in length. Their secondary structure includes four short double-helical elements and three loops (D, anti-codon, and T loops). The record is from RNAcentral. Lineage: Eukaryota; Viridiplantae; Streptophyta; Magnoliopsida; Fabales; Fabaceae. RNAcentral also lists the same sequence under 1 other name.
GCGGUGAUCUUAGUUGGGAGAGCGUCAGAUUGAAGAUCUGAAGGUCGCAUGUUCAAUCCAUGCUCACCGCA